UACAGAGGUCUCAAGCGUUAUCCGGAUUUACUGGGUUUAAAGGGUGCGUAGGUGGGUUGGUAAGUCAGUGGUGAAAUACUUUCGCUUAACGAAGGAACUGCCAUUGAUACUACCAGUCUUGAAUACAGUGGAGGUAGGCGGAAUGCGUCAUGUAGCGGUGAAAUGCUUAGAUAUGACGCAGAACACCAAUUGCGAAGGCAGCUUGCUACACUGUUAUUGACACUGAGGCACGAAAGCGUGGGGAUCAAACAGG
This 253-nucleotide ribosomal RNA is filed under the name uncultured bacterium. Its description in RNAcentral is "partial 16S ribosomal RNA". It matches the Rfam family "Bacterial small subunit ribosomal RNA", at positions 524 to 776 of the family's 1533-position model. The record is from RNAcentral.